Molecule: ribosomal RNA, 478 nt
Filed under: uncultured bacterium
Lineage: Bacteria
Description: bacterial SSU rRNA
Rfam family: Bacterial small subunit ribosomal RNA
Source: RNAcentral
AUGAACGCUAGCGGCAGGCCUAAUACAUGCAAGUCGAGGGGCAGCGGGGUAGCAAUACUGCCGGCGACCGGCGCACGGGUGCGUAACACGUAUGCAACCUACCUUAAACUGGGAGAUAGCCCGGGGAAACUCGGAUUAAUACCCCAUAAUACAUUUGGAACACAUGUUUUGAUUGUUAAAGAUUUAUCGGUUUAAGAUGGGCAUGCGUUCGAUUAGCUAGUUGGUGAGGUAAUGGCUCACCAAGGCUACGAUCGAUAGGGGGUCUGAGAGGAUGAUCCCCCACACUGGUACUGAGAUACGGACCAGACUCCUACGGGAGGCAGCAGUAGGGAAUAUUGGUCAAUGGAGGCAACUCUGAACCAGCCAUGCCGCGUGUAGGAAGAAGGCGUUCUGCGUUGUAAACUACUUUUGAUGGGAGCAAAUGACUCUUGCGAGAGUAGCUGAGUGUACCAAUAGAAUAAGCCACGGCUAACUACGU